This is a long non-coding RNA of Ictalurus punctatus (channel catfish), 1968 nucleotides long. The record is from Ensembl. Lineage: Eukaryota; Metazoa; Chordata; Actinopteri; Siluriformes; Ictaluridae.
GUGAAGGAUGGAGGAGCUGAACACACAGCGCCAUCUAAUGCUGGAUUCCUAACAUGGUUCUGUGGGUCUUGGCAGAGGAUCAUUAUUGUAGGAUAUAGCGCACAAAAUACGGUAGGUGGCGGUACUGCGCCUAUGAGUGAACGGCCAUUAACAAGAAGAAGACAGCACCGGAAGACGCUAAAACUCAGCAGACCUAGAUCUCGCUGUACCGACUACCUAUCGACGCUAUUAAGGACGUCAGAGUUGAACACACGGCAGGUGAACACACACACAGUUGAAAGGUGUGUUAACUCUUCGGGGCCGUGAGCAUCGCCUGCGAGUUUCAGCAUGGAGCAGGACAGGUACAUGCUGAUGGAGGAACACUCAGGUAGACUUCACAGGAACCUUCUGGUGUUUUACAGUAAUUCUAGUAAAUUGUGUACUGACUUACGAUUGUGCAGUAAAUCCCUACAAUACUACAUGUUCCUUUUAUUCUGAUAAAGUGCUGAAAUGUGUGUGUGUGUGUGUGUGUGUGUGUGUGAGUGAGAGAGAGAGAGAGAGAGUGUCCUACAAUAAAGUGAUCAAAUGUGUGAAGUUGUAUUGUCGUUCUUGCUGACUCGAGUCAUAUGAAGUUUCUUUAAAACUCCAACAUGCUGAUGUUUCUCCUCAUUUAUACAUCAUACUGCUGUGAUCAUGUGAACUGUUGGAAUAUAGUUAAGUGGAUGUAUUUUAUUUAUUUAUUUUUAAAUAUAUGCUUUUGCAUUAACCAUACAGGUAAGCUGAGCUUUAGAGUAAACUCUGGUGACUUUAAGGAACACAUUAGGAGUUAGUUCAGAACCGGUUCUUUGUAUAAUAACUCCAGUUACAUUGCUUGUAUUUUCCCAGUCUAGAUUAUUCUUAAAUUCCUGCAUUGCUUCAUAACUGAAUCUGUUUUGUUAAAAUUAUUAUUAGUUGUAAUUAAAAGCUGUUGUGUAAAUUAAUUAAUAAAUCUAAAUUCAUAUGUAAGGCUAGCUGGGGAAUCUCAGCCUCCUUUAAACUGUUAAAAUCUGGCAGUGAAGCGUUUUUCUAUGUUAAAUGUAGAAAAGUAUCCACUAUUUCUCCCUCUUUGUGAAAUUUUAUAUUCUAGUGGUUUAAAUUGAUCAAAAAUCUCCCUGCAGUAUUGCACUGUUCCUUUUAACUGUUUUCGGUGAACAGCGCAGCCUGCUUGGAAAUCUUUGACCCCCCCCCCCCCCCCCCCCCCCCCUUUGCUAAUCCACAGUGAAACCCAAAAUUAAGUGUUCAGAACAAACCAAUCUCAUGUUCAAAAGUAAUUAUCAUGCAGCUGUCAUCACUGGAAUUACUCUGAUUUACCCCAAAUAAAGAUCCACUUUUGUAGAAUUUUCUUCACAGCUUGGUUUUAUCUGACUGCUGAAGCCGAGGGCUCCAAAGGGCUCACAGUGCAUGCAUGGUAUCUCACUGGGUGAAAGAUAUCGAUCAGGAGAGGGGUAUAAAAGAAUUUCCAAACAUUAGAUGUACCAUUGAACAAGGUGAACAUCAACAAGUGGAGAAAACGGAGCAGCACAGUGACAUCACCAAGAGCAGGAUGUCCCUCCAACAUUUAUAAAAGGAGGGCACACAAACGUACCAGGGAGGAGGCCAGAAGACCUCCAGCAACAUUAACGGAGCUGCAGGAACAUAUGACACGUACUGAUUACUCUCUGAAUGUAACAACAAUCUCAUUUUCUUCACCUGCCUGGGCAAUGGGGUAGGGGGACUAGACGGAAGGCCUUUCUCACAAAAAACAUCCAAACUGAACUAAAUCACCCCAAACCAUGAAGUGGGCUGUGCACAGGAGAUGCCAUUACAAUUUCACGGAUCUAGAAAGAGUAUUGGCAAGUCAAAAUGUUCCAUAGACUCUUACCCAGAAAACUAAGUGGUGUAAUUAAAUCAAAAGCUGCUUCUAUAAAAGUAGUAGUUUAGGCGUGUGCACGCUUAUGCAACCAGGUUAUU